This 74-nucleotide transfer RNA is filed under the name Brucella pseudogrignonensis. RNAcentral's name for it is "Ochrobactrum pseudogrignonense tRNA-Thr". It matches the Rfam family "tRNA". From Rfam's summary of the family: Transfer RNA (tRNA) molecules are approximately 80 nucleotides in length. Their secondary structure includes four short double-helical elements and three loops (D, anti-codon, and T loops). The record is from RNAcentral. Lineage: Bacteria; Pseudomonadati; Pseudomonadota; Alphaproteobacteria; Hyphomicrobiales; Brucellaceae.
GCUGCGGUAGCUCAGUGGUAGAGCACUCCAUUGGUAAUGGAGAGGUCGAGAGUUCAAUCUCUCUCGCAGCACCA